Molecule: ribosomal RNA, 376 nt
Filed under: uncultured bacterium
Lineage: Bacteria
Description: bacterial SSU rRNA
Rfam family: Bacterial small subunit ribosomal RNA
Source: RNAcentral
UGGGGGAUAACUACUCGAAAGAGUAGCUAAUACCGCAUAAGAUCUCAGGAUGAAAGCAGGGGACCGCAAAGGCCUUGCGCUAACAGAGCGGCCGAUGGCAGAUUAGGUAGUUGGUGGGAUAAAAAGCUUACCAAGCCGACGAUCUGUAGCUGGUCUGAGAGGACGACCAACCACACUGGGACUGAGACACGGCCCAGACUCCUACGGGAGGCAGCAGUGGGGAAUUUUGGACAAUGGGCGCAAGCCUGAUCCAGCAAUGCCGCGUGCAGGAUGAAGGCCUUCGGGUUGUAAACUGCUUUUGUACGGAACGAAAAAGCUCUGGUUAAUACCUGGGCCCAUGACGGUACCGUAAGAAUAAGCACCGGCUAACUACGUG